This 168-nucleotide ribosomal RNA is filed under the name Didymellaceae sp. RNAcentral describes it as "partial large subunit ribosomal RNA". It matches the Rfam family "Eukaryotic large subunit ribosomal RNA", at positions 99 to 261 of the family's 3401-position model. The record is from RNAcentral. Lineage: Eukaryota; Fungi; Ascomycota; Dothideomycetes; Pleosporales; Didymellaceae.
CGGGAAAAGCUCAAAUUUAAAAUCUGGUGGCCCUUCCGCCAUCCGAGUUGUAAUUUGCAGAGGGCGCUUUGGCAUUGGCAGCGGUCCAAGUUCCUUGGAACAGGACGUCACAGAGGGUGAGAAUCCCGUACGUGGUCGCUAGCCUUUACCGUGUAAAGCCCCUUCGAC